UACGUAGGAGGCAAGCGUUAUCCGGAAUGAUUGGGCGUAAAGCGUCCGCAGGUGGCAGUUCAAGUCUGCUGUCAAAGACCGGGGCUUAACUUCGGAAAGGCAGUGGAAACUGAACAGCUAGAGUAUGGUAGGGGCAGAGGGAAUUCCUGGUGUAGCGGUGAAAUGCGUAGAGAUCAGGAAGAACAUCGGUGGCGAAGGCGCUCUGCUGGACCAUAACUGACACUCAGGGACGAAAGCUAGGGGAGCGAAUGGG
RNAcentral lists this ribosomal RNA (253 nucleotides) under uncultured bacterium. Its description in RNAcentral is "partial 16S ribosomal RNA". It matches the Rfam family "Bacterial small subunit ribosomal RNA", at positions 524 to 776 of the family's 1533-position model. The record is from RNAcentral.